AAAAGAUGUUGCAAAUGGUCUGAAGUGUAUUGUUUGUUUAGCAACAAGAUCAAACUCACUCACAAUGUUCAAGCUGGUUCUUGUAGUACUUGCCGCACUGAUGGCCCUUGCCAUUGCUGCCCCAGGUCCAAACCCCCAAAUUUAUUCACCAGUAGUUUCUUCGGUUUACCCUGGUGCUGGUUAUGUUGCGUCCUACCCCUAUGGAGCUGCUGUCACUUAUUACUAAUGUGGACCCUGUUGUGUUUCGAAGAUCCGUUGAUGUAAAAAAUACAAAAAAAUAAAAUAAACUCUAUUAAUAAUCGUCA
Molecule: long non-coding RNA, 305 nt
Organism: Zophobas morio
Lineage: Eukaryota; Metazoa; Arthropoda; Insecta; Coleoptera; Tenebrionidae
Exons: 2
Source: RefSeq, a predicted model, not a curated record